RNAcentral lists this ribosomal RNA (1280 nucleotides) under Chrysomeloidea sp. 6 KM-2017. RNAcentral's name for it is "16S ribosomal RNA". The stretch from base 1040 to 1198 matches the Rfam family "Archaeal large subunit ribosomal RNA", at positions 2542 to 2701 of the family's 2987-position model. The record is from RNAcentral. Lineage: Eukaryota; Metazoa; Arthropoda; Insecta; Coleoptera.
UUUUUAAAAAAUUAUUAAUUUUUAUGAAUUUAUAAGUUAAUUAAAUAAAAUAUUUUUUUUUUAGUAUAAAUGAGAAAAAAUUGUAUUAAUUAUAGUUUAUUAGUAUUGAGAAAGAAAUUUUUUAAAAAUCAAAAAGAAGAAGAUUAUUUUGUACCUUGUGUCUCAGGGAUUAUUAAAUAAUAAAAAGAUUUUAUUAUCUCGAAUUUAAAAGAGCUAAUAUUAUAUAAUUUUAUUGUUGAAUAAAUAUAUUUAAUAUAAUAUUAGAAAUGAAACGUUAUUCGUUUUUAAAUAUAUCUAGUUAUUAAAGAAAGAAGUUUAAUUUUUUUAUUAGUUAAAAUAUUUAUUUAUAUUAUUAAAAUAAUGUUAAUAGUAAAAAAUUUUUUAAGGGAAAAGCUUUAAAAAAGAAUAUUAAAAAUAAUAAAUUUAUAAAAAAAUUAUAGGAUUAGUAUUGUUCAUUAAAUAAAUUAUGUUAUAAUUAAUUUUAGAUAUAAUAAUAUUUAUAUAGGGUUUUAAAUUGUUUAUUUAAUAAUUUAUGGUAAUUAUAAUUAAUAAAGUUAUAAUGAUAGUAUUAGUAUUUUAAAUUAUAAAUUUAAAAAUAAUUAUUUAGGUUAAAUAAAGGAAUUCGGCAAAAAAUUUUUCACCUGUUUAUUAAAAACAUGGCCUUUUGUAAUAAUAUAAGGUCGAGCCUGCCCACUGAAAAUUUAAAGGGCCGCGGUAUUUUGACCGUGCUAAGGUAGCAUAAUCAUUAGUUUCUUAAUUAGAAGCUGGUAUGAAUGGUUUGAUGAAAAAAUAACUGUCUUUAUUUAAAUUUAAAAGAAUUUUAUUUUUAAGUAAAAAAGCUUAAAUGUUUUUAAAAGACGAGAAGACCCUUUAGAGUUUUAUAAAAUUUUAAAGUUUAAUUUUUAGUAUUUUAAAUUGAAAUUUAAAAUUUUAUUUAGUUGGGGUGAUUGAAAAAUUUGAAAAACUUUUUUUUAUUAAAUUCAUUUAUAAAUGUUUAAUUGAUCCAUAAUUUAUGAUUAUAAGAAUAAAUUACCUAAGGGAUAACAGCGUAAUUUUAUUUGAGAGUUCAAAUCGAAAAUAGAGAUUGCGACCUCGAUGUUGGAUUAAAGUUUAUAUUUGGUGUAGCAAUUAAAAUAUUAGGUCUGUUCGACCUUUAAAACUUUACAUGAUCUGAGUUUAAACCGGCGUGAGCCAGGUUGGUUUCUAUCUUUAAAUAGAUAAUAUAUUUUAGUACGAAAGGACCAAAUAUAUAAAAAAUUUUUUAUACAUUGAAUAAUAUU